CCUACGGGAGGCUGCAGUAGGGAAUCUUCCACAAUGGGCGAAAGCCUGAUGGAGCAACGCCGCGUGGGUGAAGAAGGUCUUCGGAUCGUAAAACUCUGUUGUUAGAGAAGAAAGUGCGUGAGCGUAACUGUUCACGUUUCGACGGUAUCAAACCAGAAAGCCACGGCUAAUUCCGGGCCAGCAGCCGCGGUAAUACGGAGGUGGCAAGCGUUAUUCGGUUUUAUUGGGCGUAAGGGGAACGCAGGCGGGCUUUUAGGUCUGAUGUGAAAGCCCUCGGCUUAACCGGGGUAGUGCAUUGGAAACUGGAGGGCUUGAGUGCGGAAGAGGAGGGUGGAACUCCUGGUGUAGCGGUGAAAUGCGUAGAUAUAAGGAAGAACACCAGUGGCGAAGGCAGCUCUCUGGUCUGUAACUGACGCUGAGGUUCGAAAGCGUGGGUAGCAAACAGGAUUAGAUACCCGAGUAGUC
This 465-nucleotide ribosomal RNA is filed under the name uncultured bacterium. RNAcentral's name for it is "partial 16S ribosomal RNA". It matches the Rfam family "Bacterial small subunit ribosomal RNA", at positions 338 to 795 of the family's 1533-position model. The record is from RNAcentral.